Fukomys damarensis (Damara mole-rat) is the source of this 105-nucleotide small nuclear RNA. NCBI's taxonomy places the organism in Eukaryota, Metazoa, Chordata, Mammalia, Rodentia, Bathyergidae. The record is from Ensembl.
GAGCUCAGUUCAGCAGCACAUGUACUAAAUCGGAAUGAUACAGAGAAGAAUAGCACGGGCCCUAGCAAGGAAGACAUGCAAAUUCAUGAAGCGUUCCACAUAUUU